This 1549-nucleotide ribosomal RNA is filed under the name human gut metagenome. Its description in RNAcentral is "bacterial LSU rRNA". It matches the Rfam family "Bacterial large subunit ribosomal RNA", at positions 1298 to 2925 of the family's 2925-position model. The record is from RNAcentral.
CGGAAUGAGUAGCGCGAAUGCAGUGAGAAUCUGCAUGGCCGAAAGCCUCAGGUUUUUGGAGGAAGGUUCGUCCGCUCCAAGUUAGUCGGGAGCUAAGGUGAGGCCGAAAGGCGUAGCCGAUGCACAGACGGUAGAGAUUCCGUCCCCACCGAAAGAUUUAAGCGCAGGGACACUUUUAGAAGGUCGGAGCCAGGUGUUGGUUCUGGUAGAGAUCGAGGGAAGAUUAGUACCGAAGUCCGGCUGGAUAAGAGGCGAGAAAAGCUGCGUGUAUAUCUAAGGUGCCCGUACCGCAAACCGACACAGGUAGGUAGGAAGAAGAUUCUAAGGCCAACGGGAGAAGGGUUGUUAAGGAACUCGGCAAAUUGACCCCGUAACUUCGGGAGAAGGGGUGCUCCAGAGAUGGAGCCGCAGAGAAUCGGCCCAAGCAACUGUUUACCAAAAACACAGGUUUGUGCUAAAUCGAAAGAUGACGUAUACGAGCUGACGCCUGCCCGGUGCUGGAAGGUUAAAAGGAGAUGUGCAAGCAUUGAAUUGAAGCCCCAGUGAACGGCGGCCGUAACUAUAACGGUCCUAAGGUAGCGAAAUUCCUUGUCAGGUAAGUUCUGACCCGCAUGAAAGGCGUAAUGAUUUGGGCACUGUCUCAACAGCCCGCCCGGCGAAAUUGUAGUACCGGUGAAGAUGCCGGUUACCCGCGACAAGACGGAAAGACCCCAUGGAGCUUUACUGUAGCCUAAUAUUGGGUUUCGGUGUUGCAUGCACAGGAUAGAUGGGACGCUGGGAAGUGAGUGCUUUGGCAUUCAUGGAGCGGCCGUUGGGAUACCAUCCUUGCGACAUUGGAAUUCUAACCUGCGCCUUUGAAUCAAGGCGGGGGACAUUGUUAGGUGGGCAGUUUGACUGGGGCGGUCGCCUCCUAAAGAGUAACGGAGGCGUUCAAAGGUUCGCUCAGCUUGAACGGAAAUCAAGCAAAAGAGUGCAAACGCAGAAGCGAGCCUAACUGCGAGACUGACGGGUCGAGCAGUAACGAAAGUUGGAGUUAGUGAUCCGGUGGUAUGUGAGUGGAAAUGCCAUCGCUCAACGGAUAAAAGUUACCCUGGGGAUAACAGGCUGAUCUCCCCCAAGAGUCCACAUCGACGGGGAGGUUUGGCACCUCGAUGUCGGCUCAUCGCAUCCUGGGGCUGUAUUCGGUCCCAAGGGUUUGGCUGUUCGCCAAUUAAAGCGGUACGCGAGCUGGGUUCAGAACGUCGUGAGACAGUUCGGUCCCUAUCUGUCGUGGGCGCAGGAUAUUUGAUGGGAGCUGUUCCUAGUACGAGAGGACCGGAGCGGACGUACCUCUGGCGCACCAGUUGUUCUGCCAAGAGCAUAGCUGGGCAACUAUGUACGGAUCGGAUAAACGCUGAAAGCAUCUAAGCGUGAAGCCGACCCAAAGAUAAGAUAUCCCAUUGUUUCAAACAAGUAAGACCCCUUGAAGACUACAAGGUUGAUAGGCACGAUGUGUAAGUGGAGUGAUCCAUUCAGCAAGCGUGUACUAAUAGGUCGAGGGCUUGACCAC